This is a long non-coding RNA of Python bivittatus (Burmese python), 1246 nucleotides long. RefSeq lists it as uncharacterized. The record is from RefSeq and is a predicted model, not a curated record. NCBI's taxonomy places the organism in Eukaryota, Metazoa, Chordata, Lepidosauria, Squamata, Pythonidae.
CUGCAGCACAAUAGCUCUUCCAGCACGAAGCAGUAUUUGCCAUCCUCUCAAGUGUCCUUAGGCAUGGGGAAAUCAACCAGAGGAUUUCAUAAUUGAAGAUGAAGUUUAACAUAUAAAAAGAUGGCAGACAUUUUCACCUGGCCCAAUUAUGUCCUGCCCCACUACAAUUCUUCUGCAAUUUUUUCUCUGGCAUCUCCUUAACUUCCAUCAGAUAGAAAAGCUCAGUGAACACAAAAGCCUGCUCAUGUUUGAUCCUGAAUAAGAAACUGCUCCAUUGCCUUUUGAUGGUGGCAUUGCUUAACCAAGAUUGCGUUUUGGGGAAAUAUCCAUCACAUGCAGUGCAUACCGUUUUAUCAGAUGGUCAUUCCAAUAAAAUAUUCCACCAGUUCUAAAAUGGGAUGAACAGCAACAGUCUUAAAGAAAUACAACCACCAUAAAAGGCAGAGGCAGUGAAAAGGCUGUGAAGAUAAUCAGCAUAAAUGUCAUCCUGGAAUGGAAUAAUUUUUCUUUAUAAAUAAACACAGCAAGAAUCACAUUAAUAUGUUCAACAGGGAAGGAGAGAGCGGGAAAAGAAGAUGCAAGAAUCGGGGGGGGGGGGAUCACUUUGCCCUCUUAAGGCAUUCCUGUUCUUGAAACAGGCAUAAAGUGGCAGGAAGAAAACAAUGUGGAAAUAUUUCAGCAAAUACUGUUGCUUGAUUUGGUUGGAGUUGAACAGCAUCAAAAUCAAAUCAAAUCAAUCAAUAAAUAAAUAGAUUCAGCUCUUGAAGAGAACUUGCAGCAAUCCCAAGUGGAAAAAAAAUGAUGGAUUUUUGUGCAAUCUUCCAAGUUUCUCUAGAUAAGUCUUCUGGUACACUGUGAAUGGCUUGGAACUACAGCUCCCAGAAUUCCAAGCCAAUAUAAUGGUUGAGAAUUCUGGGUCUUGAAGUCACAAUGCGGUUAGGCACCAAGUUGGGAUAGGGUCCUUUGAUCUUUCCUUCCCCCACGAUACUUAAAACAAUAGCAGUCAAAUUGAGGGAAAUGUAUGAUUUUCAGUUUGGAAGAUCUCUGUAAAAGCUCCAAAGUAAUUCAACAUAGGAAGCUCUAUUGAAGGGAAUUUGAGCAGCAGCUUUUCCCUUUUCUGUCAAUAAUUGUAUACUUUUUCGUUAUAAAGGCUGUCCCUCCCACUUUUGUUCUUUCAGGAUAAAACUGGAAUUGACAAUGUGCCUUCCACAACUGCCAUACCACCUACAAUAUCUCUCAGUGUUGC